ACUUCAUUCUUCUUGAUAAGUAAAAGCAGCAUGUUAGAGUUCUCUAUUAACUACCACAUAAUAUCUCCUUUUCUCCAACAACUGAGCCAAUCUAGCCGAUCUUCCUCUCGUACAUUCGUAUCAGCAAUCAGACCUAAAAAUCCUCGCUAUCUUCCCAUUCAUUUACAAUUACGCACACAGUAUAAGACAUUUCCAUGAACUCUAGCCUCCUUUAGCCACCAUAGAUUUAAGAUCUGGAUCGAAAACAACAUCGCAUCCACAACGGAAGCUCCAAGGCUUGAGUUGCAUGUUCCUUCGCCACAGCUGAUCCGUUCUCAAACCUCGAAUCACUUCUGUGGCACUAUCGGUUUCUCUAGGCUCGGCUUUGAGCGAUGUAUUAGUUGCUCAUAUGAUCUUGGUAUUGGCUUUUGUUCUCAGGUUUGGUUAUGGUUAAAUCGUGUGGGAUAAUGAACUGAACUGAGAUAUCUGAGAGUGUUCUUGGCUUCAGUCUUGAUGUUGCUACGUACAUAGAAUGAAGACUUGUAUUUCGUUUUGGCUUCACAAUUGCAGAUUAGGAGAGUAUAAUGCAGAGGGGUUUCCCCUGGUCACCUACUGACCAUAUCUCAUCUGGUCAGUGACCAUUAGAUCGCUCCCCUAUUAAUCUAAAGGCUGAGAAACAAUUACUCCACUUGAAUUAAAAUAAGAUAUUCAACACUUAUUUUAUCAUUUUCAAUUACUUUAUAUUAUUCUUGUGCAGCAGCUUUGGGGAACACUUUUCCUCUAAUGCAGGAGUGUUGCCCGUGGGUAUGGAGAAGAAACUGGAAUUUAUUCUCAAACUGGAAUUUAUUCAAUUAAGGUUUGUGGAAGUGCAUGCGAGCAACUCAGGAGAAGGAACUGGGAUAAAUAAGCUACA
Rosa rugosa (rugosa rose) is the source of this 892-nucleotide long non-coding RNA. RefSeq lists it as uncharacterized. The record is from RefSeq and is a predicted model, not a curated record. The transcript is spliced from 3 exons. NCBI's taxonomy places the organism in Eukaryota, Viridiplantae, Streptophyta, Magnoliopsida, Rosales, Rosaceae.